Molecule: ribosomal RNA, 1376 nt
Filed under: uncultured bacterium
Lineage: Bacteria
Description: 16S ribosomal RNA
Rfam family: Bacterial small subunit ribosomal RNA
Source: RNAcentral
UGAACGCUGGCGGUAUGCUUAACACAUGCAAGUCGAACGGAAACGAUACUAGCUUGCUAGUAGGCGUCGAGUGGCGGACGGGUGAGUAACGCGUAGGAAUCUGCCUGAUAGUGGGGGAUAGCCCGAAGAAAUUCGGAUUAAUACCGCAUAAUCUAUUCGUAGUAAAGUGGGGGACUUUCGAGCCUCACGCUAUCAGAUGAGCCUGCGUAAGAUUAGCUUGUUGGUAGGGUAAAAGCCUACCAAGGCGACGAUCUUUAGCUGGUCUGAGAGGAUGAUCAGCCACAUCGGGACUGAGACACGGCCCGAACUCCUACGGGAGGCAGCAGUGGGGAAUAUUGGACAAUGGGGGCAACCCUGAUCCAGCAAUACCGCGUGUGUGAAGAAGGCCUGAGGGUUGUAAAGCACUUUCAAUUGUGAAGAAAAGUUAGCGGUUAAUAACCGUUAGCCUUGACGUUAACUUUAGAAGAAGCACCGGCUAACUCCGUGCCAGCAGCCGCGGUAAUACGGAGGGUGCAAGCGUUAAUCGGAAUUACUGGGCGUAAAGCGUGCGUAGGCGGUUUAUUAAGUCAGAUGUGAAAGCCCCGGGCUUAACCUGGGAACUGCAUUUGAAACUGGUCAACUAGAGUAUGGUAGAGGAAAGUGGAAUUUCUGGUGUAGCGGUGAAAUGCGUAGAUAUCAGAAAGGAACAUCAAUGGCGAAGGCAGCUUUCUGGACCAAUACUGACGCUGAGGUACGAAAGCGUGGGUAGCAAACAGGAUUAGAUACCCUGGUAGUCCACGCCGUAAACGAUGAUAACUAGCCGUUGGGGGGAUUUACCCUUUAGUGGCGAAGCUAACGCGUUAAGUUAUCCGCCUGGGGAGUACGGCCGCAAGGUUAAAACUCAAAGGAAUUGACGGGGACCCGCACAAGCGGUGGAGCAUGUGGUUUAAUUCGAUGCAACGCGAAGAACCUUACCUGGUCUUGACAUCCUGCGAACUUUCUAGAAAUAGAUUGGUGCCUUCGGGAACGCAGUGACAGGUGCUGCAUGGCUGUCGUCAGCUCGUGUCGUGAGAUGUUGGGUUAAGUCCCGUAACGAGCGCAACCCCUAUCCUUAUUUGCCAGCACAUCAUGGUGGGAACUAUAAGGAGACUGCCGGUGAUAAACCGGAGGAAGGCGGGGACGACGUCAAGUCAUCAUGGCCCUUACGACCAGGGCUACACACGUGCUACAAUGGGAAGGACAAAGAGCCGCGAAGCCGCGAGGUGUAGCUAAUCUCAUAAACCUUUUCGUAGUCCGGAUUGGAGUCUGCAACUCGACUCCAUGAAGUCGGAAUCGCUAGUAAUCGUAGAUCAGAAUGCUACGGUGAAUACGUUCCCGGGUCUUGUACACACCGCCCG